GACGAACGCUGGCGGCGUGCUUAACACAUGCAAGUCGAACGGUAAGGCCCUUCGGGGUACACGAGUGGCGAACGGGUGAGUAACACGUGGGUGAUCUGCCCUGCACUUCGGGAUAAGCCUGGGAAACUGGGUCUAAUACCGGAUAGGACUCCUGCCUGCAUGGGUGGGGGUGGAAAGCUUUUGCGGUGUGGGAUGGGCCCGCGGCCUAUCAGCUUGUUGGUGGGGCGAUGGCCUACCAAGGCGACGACGGGUAGCCGGCCUGAGAGGGUGACCGGCCACACUGGGACUGAGAUACGGCCCAGACUCCUACGGGAGGCAGCAGUAGGGAAUAUUGCGCAAUGGGCGCAAGCCUGAUGCAGCGACGCCGCGUGAGGGAUGACGGCCUUCGGGUUGUAAACCUCUUUCAGCACAGACGAAGCGCAAGUGACGGUAUGUGCAGAAGAAGGACCGGCCAACUACGUGCCAGCAGCCGCGGUAA
RNAcentral lists this ribosomal RNA (478 nucleotides) under uncultured bacterium. RNAcentral's name for it is "partial 16S ribosomal RNA". It matches the Rfam family "Bacterial small subunit ribosomal RNA", at positions 28 to 523 of the family's 1533-position model. The record is from RNAcentral.